CUCUGAUUGUAUGGCGGCCUUCUGCAUUGAUAUCCUCUAGUCCAAGAAGAAUUUGUUGGAUGUUUAGCCGAUCCAAUACAGGGUAUAUUUUAUCAAGUGGGUCAAUCACAAAGCAAUCGGAGUGAUUUUCCAUAUACCUUCGCAAUUCCUGCAUGCCGGUGGUGUAAGUAAUUUUGCUCGAGGAUUCUGCAGAAUCACUUAAUUCAACAGAGAUGAUUUCAUCUGUUGCUUUAUGCAGAACUAUGUCAACAUGUUGUAAUUGAGAUCGUAGGGGCACUUCAAAUGUCAGGGGAAGAAAUAUCAAUCCAUUUGGAGUAGAAGAGAUAGGGAACGCACCCCUCUUAGCAAAAUCUUCUUCACG
RNAcentral lists this unclassified non-coding RNA (361 nucleotides) under Hevea brasiliensis (rubber tree). Lineage: Eukaryota; Viridiplantae; Streptophyta; Magnoliopsida; Malpighiales; Euphorbiaceae. The record is from RNAcentral.